RNAcentral lists this ribosomal RNA (523 nucleotides) under uncultured bacterium. RNAcentral's name for it is "bacterial SSU rRNA". It matches the Rfam family "Bacterial small subunit ribosomal RNA", at positions 588 to 1113 of the family's 1533-position model. The record is from RNAcentral.
UUCAAGGGUGGAAGCUACCGAUCGAUCGUAGCCUGCCUUGAACUGAUGACCUGACGGCCAGAGACCGAAUGGCAGUACCAGUGUAGCGGGUGAAAUGGCGUAGAUAUUCGGACGAACACAGUGGGCGAAGGCGGCUUCUCUGGCUGUUUUCUGACGCUGAGGCGCGAAAGCGUGGGGAGCAAACGGGAUUAGAUACCCCCGGUAGUCACGCCGUAAACGAUGGGUGCUAGGUGUAGGAGGUAUCGACCCAUUCUGUGCCGUAGUUAACACAAUAAGCAUUCCGCUGGGGAGUACGGCCGCAAGGUUGAAACUCAAAGAAAUUGACGGGGGCCCGCACAAGCAGCGGAGCAUGUGGUUUAAUUCGAAGCAACGCGAAGAACCUUACCAGGUCUUGACAUCCAGGUAAAGCGGCAGAGAUGCCGUGUGUGCUUGCACAAUCUGAGACAGGUGGUGCAUGGUUGUCGUCAGCUCGUGUCGUGAGAUGUUGGGUUAAGUCCCGCAACGAGCGCAACCCUUGUGAUCA